Molecule: long non-coding RNA, 2175 nt
Filed under: Equus asinus (donkey)
Lineage: Eukaryota; Metazoa; Chordata; Mammalia; Perissodactyla; Equidae
Description: lncRNA (ENSEASG00005036037.1)
Source: RNAcentral
CCGGGCUGCUCUCGGUCGCCUCCUCGCCGCGGGCCGCCCCGGGUGCAUCCCGGCUUGCUCCGCUCCACGCGACCCAGAUUCCCGCCCCGCCCCCGCCCCCGCCCCUCCCGCGCCCGCAGCCAGUGCGGCAGCCGCGGCCACCCCGGUCCAGCCUCGGCGCCGGGGACGGACCGCGUCGAUCGCCGCCGCGCAGCGCGGAGCCGGAGCGCCUGGGGAAGGCGGAGAUGGAGACCCGACUGCCGCGUGCCAGCACCUGCUGAGCUCUCUGCGGCCGCCGGAGUGCAGCUUACGCUUACUUUGCUAAAGGCAAAUUUGGAAGCAAUUACUUGAGAACAGUUUGGAUAAGAUCUGGAUAAUCAAAACAGGCACAAUGAAGCACUUCCUGAGGAUUUCUUCAAGCAAGAAUUAACUUACAUUAGCAAAUUCAUUGAGACUGUUCAAAAUAAGCCACUUUUCUCUAUUAUUCCAAAAGAAGACAGCAGUCACAAAGUUAAGAUGAUGGAGUAGAGUUGCACCACAGGUAUAUUUGAGAUGCCUCCACUCAAGGCAUGCCAUCAGAAACAUAAGGACAUAAAGGAGAUUAAAAGGAGGAAAGGUACUAUGAUCCAAAAGUGCUUAAACUCAGGUAAGAAACAGGCACACCUUCCUACCUGCCUGCCUUCCUUCCUUCCUUCUUCCCUUCCUCCCUUCCUUCCUUCUUAUCUUUCUUUUUCCGUCAACCAACCACUGAUUAGCUUAAAAGCAUUUAAAGACCCAUUUCUUAAUUUCUUCCUUUUCAGGAUAAAUAUGCCAAACCAAUUUAACAUUCCCCCCAAACGUUUCACCAUGCUUAUUGUUCUCUGGACCUUCAGCAGUUUUUCCAUAACCUUUACGAUUUGGAGACUUAAGCAGGCCCAAAAAUUUAAGAAGUGAGCUCCUGGCAGCACUUGAUGGUGAAGAACAGCCAUCCUGAGAUGCUCAAAUGGAGGUUUUGCUGACCUGGUCCUUUCAUGAGGAAGCGAGUUGGGUAUUAUUUCUGUCAUCAAAAUAAGGCUUCCAAAGUAAGGGGUAGCACUGGUGUUUCAAUCUCUGACCAUCCCUUAAGUUUAUGAUCUAAACACAAGAUAAAUUAUGUCUGUCAAAAUGUUGUUUGAUCUGAUGAUCUGGCUUAAAAAAAUAUAGCACCUAACACAGCAAGAAAAUAUAUGGCCUAGCAUAGCAAGUUGACCUUUUAAUGAAAUAUUUAUGGGCAUGGUCAUCCAUUAGAAAAACAAGGAAAACAAUAAAAAUAUAUGCUUGGUAAUAAAUAGCAUUAUCAGAACUACAGGCCCAGAAAUUAUGAAAGGGUAAGGAAACAGUGUAUAAAUUUCAUUUCACAAUUGAAAUGGGCAUGUCUCUUUCACGAUUUGUGAUGCUGUUUCUGUGAUUAGGUGAGACAGAUGUGAUACACCUCACAGAGUGGGGAGCCCUAAGAAAUGAUGCAUCCUCCCUAAGCCCUCACUGUGGAUUUCUGCUGGGUUUCCCUGUCUUUGACAGUGUGAAAAUCCUCAGGGGAGUUGAAAAAAAAGAUAAAAGCAAAUAGAACAUGAUGUCUUUUCUCCCUCUUAUGUAAGACUGUCUUGAUGAAAACAGUUCCCCAGGCAUUUUCUUCUCAUAUGCAAGGAGGCCAAUGGGAGAAAUUACAGACGGGCUAUAAGCCACUCUCCCUCUGGACACUUCCUGCCACCUAGAGUGACACCUCUCCAUCUCAAGUCACAUCUUUGUGUAGAUCUAACAGAGAGGUUGCACCAGGGAAACUUUCUAUGGUUUGAUCUGAGCUAUAAUAUGAUCUGCUGGCUUGUACCCUAAGUAGGGCGAGUACAAAGAUGCUCCUUAAGCAAUAAUCAGAGCUCUUUUCUCUGGGAAGAUUUAGUGUCACAAGAACUUGAUUAUCAUGGAGUCCUGAUUCACAGACUUAAAAGAGGCUUCAUUUGAGGAAGUGGCCCACAUGCUAGACAAACUUUACUGGAAUAAGUAAUAGAAUAGAAUAAGUCAAACUUCACUUGACUUAGUAAUAAGAACAAUGCCAACCAGUAAUUAAUAUCAUUAUCACUUUGCUGGUGACCAGUUAACCAAUAUAUUGCUCAAUCUUUUUUUUUUUUUUUUUUUUGGCAUAGCUAUCCAAUAAUUGGAAAACUGGAAAACCUUUUCCAAGAG